GCCUGAGGAGAGGUUUCUUGUGCUUUUACCAGUGCUUUUUCAGUACUGAAAAGGGGGUGAAAGCACAAGAAACCUCUCCUCAGGC
Podarcis lilfordi (Lilford's wall lizard) is the source of this 85-nucleotide non-coding RNA. Lineage: Eukaryota; Metazoa; Chordata; Lepidosauria; Squamata; Lacertidae. The record is from the annotation of a GenBank genome assembly.